ACUGGGGAACGAGGCCACGCGUGGGUCUGGGUCAAGUGUGACUGGGGAACGAGGCCACGCGUGGGUCUGGGUCAAGUGUGACUGGGGAACGAGGCCACGCGUGGGUCUGGGUCAAGUGUGACUGGGGAACGAGGCCACGCGUGGGUCUGGGUCAAGUGUGACUGGGGAACGAGGCCACGCGUGGGUCUGGGUCAAGUGUGACUGGGGAACGAGGCCACGCGUGGGUCUGGGUCAAGUGUGACUGGGGAACGAGGCCACGCGUGGGUCUGGGUCAAGUGUGACUGGGGAACGAGGCCACGCGUGGGUCUGGGUCAAGUGUGACUGGGGAACGAGGCCACGCGUGGGUCUGGGUCAAGUGUGACUGGGGAACGAGGCCACGCGUGGG
Nomascus leucogenys (northern white-cheeked gibbon) is the source of this 385-nucleotide long non-coding RNA. RefSeq lists it as uncharacterized. NCBI's taxonomy places the organism in Eukaryota, Metazoa, Chordata, Mammalia, Primates, Hylobatidae. The record is from RefSeq and is a predicted model, not a curated record. The transcript has 4 exons.